Molecule: ribosomal RNA, 359 nt
Filed under: uncultured soil bacterium
Lineage: Bacteria
Description: bacterial SSU rRNA
Rfam family: Bacterial small subunit ribosomal RNA
Source: RNAcentral
AGAUUGAACGCUGGCGGAAUGCUUUACACAUGCAAGUCGAACGGCAGCACGGGGGCAACCCUGGUGGCGAGUGGCGAACGGGUGAGUAAUACAUCGGAACGUGCCCAGUCGUGGGGGAUAACUACGCGAAAGCGUAGCUAAUACCGCAUACGAUCUACGGAUGAAAGCGGGGGACUCGCAAGAGCCUCGCGCGAUUGGAGCGGCCGAUGGCAGAUUAGGUAGUUGGUGGGGUAAAGGCUCACCAAGCCUGCGAUCUGUAGCUGGUCUGAGAGGACGACCAGCCACACUGGGACUGAGACACGGCCCAGACCUCCUACGGGAGCAGCAGUGGGGAAUUUGGACAAGUGGGCGCAAGCCUG